Molecule: transfer RNA, 69 nt
Filed under: Neotoma lepida (desert woodrat)
Lineage: Eukaryota; Metazoa; Chordata; Mammalia; Rodentia; Cricetidae
Rfam family: tRNA
About the family: Transfer RNA (tRNA) molecules are approximately 80 nucleotides in length.
Source: Rfam by way of RNAcentral
GGGAACAUAACUCAGUGGUAGAGUACUUGCCUGCCAUGCAAAAAGCCCUGGGUUCAAUACCCAUUCCUA